AACUAUUGGAAUGCUUUAAUUUCAUAUUUACCUCAUGUAUUCAUUCUGAAGGAGCGGCGUCCUGAUGAAGCUCACAGAUCAUCGUCAUCACCGUAGAGGACAAGUACGACCUCAUCCUGAUGCAUCCUCCUGACCCAGCACGGCUCUUCGUCCUCACUGCUAGCUGUUAGCUUAGCAGAACUCCUCCUGGCAUCUGACUCGUCUUCAGCUUCGUCUCCUGAGCGUGGGGGGAGGGGGGCUAGGAGAGCACGGCUCUGAUGGUGAGGAGGCCGCUGAAGAACAGACUCUUGGUGAAGAUCAGCCUGAGCAGGUUCAGCAGCAGCAGGUGGAGGUUCAGCUCCACCGGGGGGUCUCCGCCUGGAGACAGAUCACAUGUUCAGCUUUAAUAAUCUCAGGCCGACCAGCUCACAGGACUGGAUGUCCUGGCUGAAGCCGGCGUAGAAGUAGGUUUUAAGACGGUCAGACAGGGCGGCGUGGGCGGUGCUCAGGUUGGUGCCCCCCCCCGGCCCGUCCAGAAACAUCCUGCCCCCCUUCGGAC
Gasterosteus aculeatus aculeatus (three-spined stickleback) is the source of this 538-nucleotide long non-coding RNA. The record is from Ensembl. NCBI's taxonomy places the organism in Eukaryota, Metazoa, Chordata, Actinopteri, Perciformes, Gasterosteidae.